CUCGCUUCUCGGCCGUUUGGCUAAGAUUAAGUGUAGUAUCUGUUCUUACCAGUUCAUAUCGGGGGAUUGGGCACCACUAAUGUGGGACUAGUGUGGAGGGGUGCUGCGUGGAGGAGACAGGUGUACCAGGGUGUUUCGGGGCUGGUUUUGAGGAAUCAGCUCAAUGGCUGCCCGAUGUGACUUGUU
Hyla sarda is the source of this 186-nucleotide small nuclear RNA. RefSeq annotates it as U2 spliceosomal RNA. The transcript has a single exon. Lineage: Eukaryota; Metazoa; Chordata; Amphibia; Anura; Hylidae. The record is from RefSeq and is a predicted model, not a curated record.